UAGGGAAUAUUAGAAAUGGACGAAAGUCUGAUCUAGCAACACCGCGUGUGCGAAGAAGGCCUUCGGGUUGUAAAGCACUUUUUGGAAGGAUUAGGAAGGAAUGUACUUCCAGAAUAAGUCUCGGCUAACUACGUGCCAGCAGCCGCGGUAACACGUAGGAGGCAAACGUUAUCCGGAUUUACUGGGCGUAAAGCGCGUGUAGGUGGUUCUGUAAGUAGGGCGUGAAAGCUCCUGGCGCAACUGGGAGAGGCCGUUCUAAACUGCAGAGCUAGAGGAUGGUAGAGGGAGGUGGAAUUCCGGGUGUAGCGGUGGAAUGCGCAGAUAUCCGGAGGAACACCAGUGGCGAAAGCGGCCUCCUGGACCAUGCCUGACACGCAGACGCGAAAGCUAGGGUAGCAAACG
Molecule: ribosomal RNA, 402 nt
Filed under: uncultured prokaryote
Description: bacterial SSU rRNA
Rfam family: Bacterial small subunit ribosomal RNA
Source: RNAcentral